Ictidomys tridecemlineatus (thirteen-lined ground squirrel) is the source of this 57-nucleotide unclassified non-coding RNA. The record is from Ensembl. Lineage: Eukaryota; Metazoa; Chordata; Mammalia; Rodentia; Sciuridae.
GGGAGGGGACGUGGGCAAGCAGUUGGGUUGCGACCUGAGGCCGUGGGGACUGGUCAG